GGGGAUGUAGCUCAGUGGAACAGUGCCUGCCUGGCAAGUGCAAGUCUGAGUUUGAUUCCCAGUACCCCCA
Molecule: transfer RNA, 70 nt
Filed under: Fukomys damarensis (Damara mole-rat)
Lineage: Eukaryota; Metazoa; Chordata; Mammalia; Rodentia; Bathyergidae
Rfam family: tRNA
About the family: Transfer RNA (tRNA) molecules are approximately 80 nucleotides in length. Their secondary structure includes four short double-helical elements and three loops (D, anti-codon, and T loops). Further hydrogen bonds mediate the characteristic L-shaped molecular structure. tRNAs have two regions of fundamental functional importance: the anti-codon, which is responsible for specific mRNA codon recognition, and the 3' end, to which the tRNAs corresponding amino acid is attached (by aminoacyl-tRNA synthetases). tRNAs cope with the degeneracy of the genetic code in two manners: having more than one tRNA (with a specific anti-codon) for a particular amino acid; and 'wobble' base-pairing, i.e. permitting non-standard base-pairing at the 3rd anti-codon position.
Source: Rfam by way of RNAcentral